Molecule: ribosomal RNA, 500 nt
Filed under: uncultured bacterium
Lineage: Bacteria
Description: bacterial SSU rRNA
Rfam family: Bacterial small subunit ribosomal RNA
Source: RNAcentral
UUCUGGCUCAGGACGAACGCUGGCGGCGUGCCUAACACAUGCAAGUCGAACGGGGAUUUGUUUCGGCAGAAUCCUAGUGGCGAACGGGUGAGUAACGCGUAGGCAACCUGCCCUCCGGCCGGGGACAACACUCCGAAAGGGGUGCUAAUACCGGAUACGAAGUCUGUGCCGCAUGGUACGGAUUUGAAAGAUGGCCUCUAUUUAUAAGCUAUCGCCGGGGGAUGGGCCUGCGUCCGAUUAGCUGGUUGGUGGGGUAACGGCCUACCAAGGCGACGAUCGGUAGCCGGACUGAGAGGUUGAACGGCCACAUUGGGACUGAGACACGGCCCAGACUCCUACGGGAGGCAGCAGUGGGGAAUAUUGCACAAUGGGCGAAAGCCUGAAUGCAGCAACGCCGCGUGAGGGAAGACGGUUUUCGGAUUGUAAACCUCUGUCUUUGGUGAAGAAGAAGUGACAUUAGCCGAAGAGGAAGCCACGGCUAACUACGUGCCAGCCGCCGC